Molecule: ribosomal RNA, 252 nt
Filed under: uncultured bacterium
Lineage: Bacteria
Description: partial 16S ribosomal RNA
Rfam family: Bacterial small subunit ribosomal RNA
Source: RNAcentral
UACGUAGGUCCCGAGCGUUGUCCGGAUUUAUUGGGCGUAAAGCGAGCGCAGGUGGUUUAUUAAGUCUGGUGUAAAAGGCAGUGGCUCAACCAUUGUAUGCAUUGGAAACUGGUAGACUUGAGUGCAGGAGAGGAGAGUGGAAUUCCAUGUGUAGCGGUGAAAUGCGUAGAUAUAUGGAGGAACACCGGUGGCGAAAGCGGAUGACUGGACGGCAACUGACGGUGAGGCGCGAAAGCGUGGGGAGCAAACAGG